RNAcentral lists this non-coding RNA (944 nucleotides) under Loricaria nickeriensis. RNAcentral describes it as "partial 12S ribosomal RNA". It matches the Rfam family "Bacterial small subunit ribosomal RNA". The record is from RNAcentral. Lineage: Eukaryota; Metazoa; Chordata; Actinopteri; Siluriformes; Loricariidae.
GGCUUGGUCCUGACUUUCUAUAAGCUUUAGCCCAACUUAUACAUGCAAGUCUCCGCACCCCUGUGAGAAUGCCCUCAAUCCCCCAGCCGGGGAAGAGGAGCCGGCAUCAGGCGCACUAAGUAGCCCAAGACGCCUUGCUAAGCCACACCCCCAAGGGAAUUCAGCAGUAAUAAACAUUAAGCCAUAAGUGAAAACUUGACUUAAUUAGGGCUAAAAGGGCCGGUAAAAUCCGUGCCAGCCACCGCGGUUAUACGAAAGACCCCAGUUUAUAGGUACGGCGUAAAGGGUGGUUAAGAGAAAAUCAAAAUAAGGCCAAAGAUCCCCUAAGCAGUCAUACGCUCCACGAGGACACGAAACCCAAAUACGAAAGUUGCCUUAAUAAACUUCACCUGACCCCACGAAAGCUGAAAAACAAACUGGGAUUAGAUACCCCACUAUGUUCAGCCUUAAACCCAGAUAAAAAAUUACAAAAUUAUCCGCCAGGGGACUACAAGCACAGCUUAAAACCCAAAGGACUUGGCGGUGCCUCAGAUCCACCUAGAGGAGCCUGUUCUAGAACCGAUAACCCCCGUUAAACCUCACCACCCCUUGCCUUUCCCGCCUAUAUACCGCCGUCGUCAGCUUACCCUGUGAAGGCUUCAAUAGUAAGCAAAAUGAGUUCAACCCAAAACGUCAGGUCGAGGUGUAGCGCACGAGGUGGGAAGAAAUGGGCUACAUUUUCUACUACAGAACACCACGGAUAGUGCCCUGAAAAUAGCAUCUGAAGGAGGAUUUAGCAGUAAAAAGUAAAUAGAGUGUACUUUUGAAUUAGGCUCUGAGGCGCGCACACACCGCCCGUCACUCUCCCCACCACCACAUAAUAACUAUUCCUAAUACUUGAAUAAAGACACGGGGAGGCAAGUCGUAACAUGGUAAGUGUACCGGAAGGUGCACUUGGAACAAUC